This 282-nucleotide ribosomal RNA is filed under the name Ostrea edulis (European flat oyster). Its description in RNAcentral is "partial 12S ribosomal RNA". The record is from RNAcentral. Lineage: Eukaryota; Metazoa; Mollusca; Bivalvia; Ostreida; Ostreidae.
AAGAACUUGGCGGUUCCACAAAACCAUCCAGAGGCUCUUGGCGCUUAAACCGAUGAUCCGCGUGAUAUCUUACCCACUCUAUAUGGUAAUGUACUGCCGUCGAAAGCUUAUGAUGUGAGUAUAUAAAAAUAGGCUUCACCUUAGGCAUAGAUCAGAUCUCUGUGCUAAGACUAGGUCAGGUCGAAGUGUUCUUUAUGAGUGAGGGGUUAGCUGAGAGACAAUUUUUAAGAUAUAACAAGCUUUAAAAUGAAAUUUUUAUAGCGAGGCGGAUUUGGGAGUAAA